AAAACAUCGCCUCUUGUAUUUCACAAAUAAGAGGUCUCGCCUGCCCAAUGACUGUACGUUAAAUGGCCGCGGUAUAGUUAACCGUGCAAAGGUAGCGCAAUCACUUGUCUUUUAAUUGAAGACCCGUAUGAAAGGCUCAACGAGGGCUUAACUGUCUCCUUUCUCCAGUCAAUGAAAUUGAUCUCCCCGUGCAGAAGCGGGGAUAAGAACAUAAGACGAGAAGACCCUGUGGAGCUUUAGACCUAAAGGCAGACUAUGUUUUGUACUUCAAAAUAAAGGACUAAACAAUAGUUAUUGCCCCUAUGUCUUCGGUUGGGGUGACCCCGGGGUAAAACAAAACCCCCGUAAAGAACGAGAAAACCUUUUCCCACAAACAAGACUUACCAGUCUAAUUAACAGAACACCUGACUUAACUAAUAAAUGAUCCGGCCCACGCCGAUUAAUGAACCAAGUUACCCCAGGGAUAACAGCGCAAUCCUCUUUAAGAGCCCUUAUCGACAAGAGGGUUUACGACCUCGAUGUUGGUUCAGGACAUCCCGAUGGUGUAGCCGCUAUCAAAGGUUCGUUUGUUCAACGAUUAACAGUCCUACGUGAUCU
This 597-nucleotide ribosomal RNA is filed under the name Eucinostomus gracilis (Graceful mojarra). RNAcentral's name for it is "partial 16S ribosomal RNA". It matches the Rfam family "Bacterial large subunit ribosomal RNA", at positions 1810 to 2606 of the family's 2925-position model. Lineage: Eukaryota; Metazoa; Chordata; Actinopteri; Gerreiformes; Gerreidae. The record is from RNAcentral.